AGCGAACGCUGGCGGCAGGCCUAACACAUGCAAGUCGAACGAACCCUUCGGGGUUAGUGGCGGACGGGUGAGUAACACGUGGGAACGUACCUUUAGGUUCGGAACAACACAGGGAAACUUGUGCUAAUGCCGAAUGUGCCCUUCGGGGGAAAGAUUUAUCGCCUUUAGAGCGGCCCGCGUCUGAUUAGCUUGUUGGUGAGGUAAAGGCUCACCAAGGCUUCGAUCAGUAGCUGGUCUGAGAGGAUGAUCAGCCACACUGGGACUGAGACACGGCCCAGACUCCUACGGGAGGCAGCAGUGGGGAAUCUUGCGCAAUGGGCGAAAGCCUGACGCAGCCAUGCCGCGUGAAUGAUGAAGGUCUUAGGAUUGUAAAAUUCUUUCACCGGGGAAGAUAAUGACGGUACCCGGAGAAGAAGCCCCGGCUAACUUCGUG
This 433-nucleotide ribosomal RNA is filed under the name uncultured bacterium. Its description in RNAcentral is "bacterial SSU rRNA". It matches the Rfam family "Bacterial small subunit ribosomal RNA", at positions 29 to 507 of the family's 1533-position model. The record is from RNAcentral.